CCCGAAUCUUCAUAAGCUUCUUCUAACGAUGAAUUUCAAUACCAAGUUCUCCAUGCUUUCUCAAAGAGAUAUGGAAAUCAUAAGUGAUUACUUCAAAAUCGAGUAGGAAUUCGUGGGUCCUAGGUCGUUUUACUCAUUAUCAUUCAACGCUCAGCAGAUCUGGAAACCAUAAAGAUUUCACUUUCGGCAGUUAAUCCAUUUCUUUGCAUUAGUUGGAAAAUAGAAGGAACCAUUGGACGGUGGAGUGGGAGGCCGAGCAGGUGAUGGAAUAAACCUCUUUGCAUUAGGGUUAAGCUUGAAUUCCUUACAACACGAAAGGGGAAACUCAUACAUAAGACAAUAACAUAAAAGACUAGAACCAGACAGCGGGAAAACAAAUUCCAGUCCAAAAGUUGGGCUUGAACUUCCAUACCUUUGCAUUUGGAUUCAGAGUUGAUUUUUCAAAAGACAGUGAACCAACUGAUGAACUUGGAGAUAAGCCAGAAGAGAAAGGGCAACAAACACCUGCUUUCCCCAUCCAUCGAGGAAUAGCUUAUGGCAGGGAGUUCAGAUGUUAAUUGCUUAGCAUGAUCAUAAGAACCAGAGAUAAUCAAAAGGAUCUACUGGUAAUUUCCCUGAUAUAAGAAAUAUGAACACUCCCUUUCUCCUUUGAUAAAAUCGGGUUAUAUGUCAUAUAAAGAUUACUCGAGACCAUAAACGCAAUGAUCUUGAAGUUCUUAGUAAUUUAUUCUUCUUUAC
Molecule: small RNA, 738 nt
Filed under: Vigna angularis var. angularis
Lineage: Eukaryota; Viridiplantae; Streptophyta; Magnoliopsida; Fabales; Fabaceae
Description: Non-protein coding transcript
Source: RNAcentral